UAUGGUUAAAUUCGAGAGACAAAAACGUUAACAAGAAAUUGGUGUACAUAGUAGGUGAAUUUUCAGAUACGACAGGGUUUAGGAGAAUGCAUUUUGUGCACCGCUUCGAUCUCGUUGUUCGCUUUGUCGUGUUGCUGAAUUCGGGCUCUCUUCGUAGUGAAGUAAGGUGGAAGAAGAUUAUUUCUUCGAAUAUAAGGUUUAUCAUAUUAAUUGUGGAAGUUCUUGGCUGGACUGAGCUCUUGAACGACGUAAGGUACAGAUGCUCACGUUGGUAACCCGCCAGCUUAGGAGUCCUAUUCAGCUAUCUUGGAGAGCUCCCUUGUUCCGGAGCCUAGAUUUUGGUACAGAAUCUCUUGUGGU
This is a long non-coding RNA of Lycium barbarum (goji berry), 360 nucleotides long. RefSeq lists it as uncharacterized. The transcript has 3 exons. NCBI's taxonomy places the organism in Eukaryota, Viridiplantae, Streptophyta, Magnoliopsida, Solanales, Solanaceae. The record is from RefSeq and is a predicted model, not a curated record.